This 301-nucleotide ribosomal RNA is filed under the name uncultured bacterium. Its description in RNAcentral is "partial 16S ribosomal RNA". It matches the Rfam family "Bacterial small subunit ribosomal RNA", at positions 509 to 807 of the family's 1533-position model. The record is from RNAcentral.
CAGCCGCCACGGUAAAACGUAGGCAGCGAGCGUUGUUCGGAAUUACUGGGCGUAAAGAGUGUGUAGGCGGUGCUCUAAGUUCGGUGUGAAGUCUCCCGGCUUAACUGGGAGGGUGCGCCGGAAACUGGAAUGCUCGAGCGUGGGAGAGGAAAGCGGAAUUCCUGGUGUAGCGGUGAAAUGCGUAGAUAUCAGGAGGAACACCUGUGGUGUAGACGGCUUUCUGGACCAUAGCUGACGCUGAGACACGAAAGCGUGGGUAGCGAACAGGAUUAGAUACCCGUGUAGUCCCUGUCUCUUAUAC